Molecule: long non-coding RNA, 415 nt
Organism: Synchiropus splendidus (mandarinfish)
Lineage: Eukaryota; Metazoa; Chordata; Actinopteri; Syngnathiformes; Callionymidae
Exons: 3
Source: RefSeq, a predicted model, not a curated record
GAACACUCCAUCAGACAAACAUGAAGAUCUUUCAUGUUCUUGCUGCUGUCUCUGUUGUACUCACCUUCAUCUGCCUUCAGCAGAGCUCUUCUCUUCCAUUCACGAAGGAGGAAGAUUUGCGGGAGAUGAAGCCUGGUCAAGGUUCUGGAGAUGAGAACAGGUCCCUGAAAUCAUGGAAGGGCAAAAUGCGUCUUGGGCCAGGCAUGGGACCGGGCGGCGGCAAUUCCAGGAUCUCCCCAGAUCAUUAAAUAUGCUAAACACACACUGACGCUAAAAAGUAGCUGCAAUGACUUUCUUCUUCACCAUUGCCCAGCAUGUGUGAGAUUCUUAUAUCCAGUGCUCUGUAAUGUUGCGACUUGGCAAAAGUACAUUUUGCACAGACCGAUGUAAUUUUCCCCAAAAUAUGAUAAUAAAA